Molecule: ribosomal RNA, 253 nt
Filed under: uncultured bacterium
Lineage: Bacteria
Description: partial 16S ribosomal RNA
Rfam family: Bacterial small subunit ribosomal RNA
Source: RNAcentral
UACGUGGGGGGCAAGCGUUGUCCGGAUUUAUUGGGCGUAAAGAGCGUGUAGGCGGCCUUACAGGUCAGCUGUGAAAACUCGAGGCUCAACCUCGAGACGUCGGUUGAAACCGUAAGGCUAGAGUCCGGAAGAGGAGAGUGGAAUUCCCGGUGUAGCGGUGAAAUGCGCAGAUAUCGGGAAGAACACCCGUGGCGAAGGCGGCUCUCUGGGACGGUACUGACGCUGAGACGCGAAAGCGUGGGGAGCGAACAGG